CGGUAAAAGCUCAAAUUUGAAAUCUGGCUCUUUUAGAGUCCGAAUUGUAAUUUGUAGAGGAUGUUUUGGGUACCGCCCCGGUCUAAAUUUCUUGGAACAGAAUGUCAAAGAGGGUGAGAAUCCCGUAUGUGACUGGAUACCUAUGCUCAUGUGAAGCUCUUUCGAC
RNAcentral lists this ribosomal RNA (166 nucleotides) under Sclerotiniaceae sp. Its description in RNAcentral is "partial large subunit ribosomal RNA". It matches the Rfam family "Eukaryotic large subunit ribosomal RNA", at positions 99 to 261 of the family's 3401-position model. The record is from RNAcentral. Lineage: Eukaryota; Fungi; Ascomycota; Leotiomycetes; Helotiales; Sclerotiniaceae.